Molecule: ribosomal RNA, 388 nt
Filed under: uncultured bacterium
Lineage: Bacteria
Description: bacterial SSU rRNA
Rfam family: Bacterial small subunit ribosomal RNA
Source: RNAcentral
GACGAACGCUGGCGGCGUGCUUAACACAUGCAAGUCGAGCGGUAAGGCCCUUUCGGGGGUACACGAGCGGCGAACGGGUGAGUAACACGUGGGUGACCUGCCCUCAGCUCUGGGAUAAGCCUGGGAAACCGGGUCUAAUACCGGAUAUGACUCCAUGACGCAUGUUGUGGGGUGGAAAGCCUUGUGCGGCUGAGGAUGGGCCCGCGGCCUAUCAGCCUGUUGGUGGGGUGANGGCCUACCAAGGCGACGACGGGUAGCCGGCCUGAGAGGGCGACCGGCCACACUGGGACUGAGACACGGCCCAGACUCCUACGGGAGGCAGCAGUGGGGAAUCUUGCGCAAUGGGCGAAAGCCUGACGCAGCGACGCCGCGUGAGGGAUGACGGCCU